This 308-nucleotide ribosomal RNA is filed under the name uncultured bacterium. RNAcentral's name for it is "partial 16S ribosomal RNA". It matches the Rfam family "Bacterial small subunit ribosomal RNA", at positions 505 to 808 of the family's 1533-position model. The record is from RNAcentral.
GAGACAGCAGCCGCCGCGGUAAUACAGAGGAUGCAAGCGUUAUCCGGAAUGAUUGGGCGUAAAGCGUCUGUAGGUGGCUUUUCAAGUCCGCCGUCAAAUCCCAGGGCUCAACCCUGGACAGGCGGUGGAAGCUACCAAGCUGGAGUACGGUAGGGGCAGAGGGAAUUUCCGGUGGAGCGGUGAAAUGCGUUGAGAUCGGAAAGAACACCAACGGCAAAGCACUCUGCUGGGCCGACACUGACACUGAGAGACGAAAGCUAGGGGAGCAAAUGGGAUUAGAUACCCCCGUAGUCCCUGUCUCUUAUACC